Molecule: ribosomal RNA, 1221 nt
Filed under: Frullania appalachiana
Lineage: Eukaryota; Viridiplantae; Streptophyta; Jungermanniopsida; Porellales; Frullaniaceae
Description: eukaryotic LSU rRNA
Rfam family: 5.8S ribosomal RNA (bases 619-773)
Source: RNAcentral
CCAUAUGACCAUCUACAAUUCUUACAUGCGCGGUGACGUUGUGAGAAGUCAUUAAACCUUAUCAUUUAGAGGAAGGAGAAGUCGUAACAAGGUUUCCGUAGGUGAACCUGCGGAAGGAUCAUUGAACACACGAUCAAAAACAUUGACGAAUCUCCGCCUUCUCCUUCGGGACGGGUCCGCGAGGAUGCGUCUCCCGGGGAGAGGGUUAGAAACCUCCAAAAAACCGUCCCCGCGAACGGAACGGCAAGCUACAGGUGCCUGAGGGGACCCCACUGUGGAGGUGCGGUCGUCUACGGUGCGACUCUGGUAGUCCCGGAACCCUUGCCUCUCCCGGGAGGGGAGGUGUCCGGGAGUGCCGCCGCGGGUGCGACGCGGUAACGGGUUGCUCGUGGUCGGGACAUCCCGCUCGCGCGGCUCUCGAACGGGGGCUCUCCUUUGCCCAAGUGGCGAGGGGAGUCCCUUUCGGGAGUAGGAUGUAUCCCCCCUCCUCUCGGGGACCACCCGCCUCUCCGGGCGGGUUCCCCGGGAGCCUCGCCGGCUUGCCUUUCCGCGGUUGCGAGUCAGCCAAAAGCUCAACGAGGAACGCAUGUCGAAAGGCAACAAAUUAUCAAACGUAUGGACUCUCAGCAACGGAUAAUCUUGGCUCUUGCAACGAUGAAGAACGCAGCGAAAUGCGAUACCUAGUGUGAAUUGCAGAAUUCCGCGAAUCAUCGAGUUUUUGAACGCAAGUUGCGCCCGAGGCUCGUACCGAGGGCAUGCCUGUCUGAGCGUCCAUGGGGUCCCGCCCAUCCACCUCGUCGCAACGACGGGCUCGUAGGAUGGGCGCCGGGAUGGCCUAUGCGCGGACCAUCGAGUGGGCAACUCCACUCGACAGCGACCCGCUCGGCUGAAAUCCAAGUGUGUCCUGCGAGUCGGAGGGGGACGCUGCGAGAAGGUGCUCCGUUCCCGCGGAAGCGGGCGGCGGAUGUUCCAUCUACGCUGAUUGUGGGAUCGUGGUGGUGUCUCUCUCCAACGAGGGAGACCCGUCUCCGACUCACGAGAAGUCGUAGCCUGGUCGUAGCGGCGUCUCUCCCCGACGGAUCAGGGCUCAACGAAAGCGGGACUCGGGACGCCAGCCCCGAGUCUUCUCACGUCUUGGACCUCAGAUCAGGCAAGAUCACCCGCUGAGUUUAAGCAUAUCACUAAGCGGAGGAAAAGAAACUAACGAGAUUUCCUUAGUAA